UACGGAGGGUGCAAGCGUUGUUCGGAUUCAUUGGGCGUAAAGCGAGUUUAGGCGGUUUGACAAGUCGGAUGUGAAAUCCCGGGGCCCAACCCCGGAACUGCCCCCGAUACUGUCUGGCUAGAGUCCCGGAGAGGGUGGCGGAAUUCCCGGUGUAGGGGUGAAAUCCGUAGAUAUCGGGAGGAACACCAGUGGCGAAGGUGGCCACCGGGACGGUGACUGACGCUGAGAUUCGAAAGCGUGGGUAGCAAACAGG
This 253-nucleotide ribosomal RNA is filed under the name uncultured bacterium. RNAcentral's name for it is "partial 16S ribosomal RNA". It matches the Rfam family "Bacterial small subunit ribosomal RNA", at positions 524 to 776 of the family's 1533-position model. The record is from RNAcentral.